AUUGAACGCUGGCGGCAUGCUUUACACAUGCAAGUCGAACGGUAACAGGGUGCUUGCGCCGCUGACGAGUGGCGAACGGGUGGGUAAUGCGUCGGAACGUGCCGAGUAGUGGGGGAUAACGCAGCGAAAGUUGUGCUAGUACCGCAUACGUACUGAGGUAGAAAGUGGGGGACCUUCGGGCCUCACGCUAUUCGAGCGGCCGACGUCUGAUUAGCUAGUAGGUGAGGUAAAGGCUCACCUAGGCGACGAUCAGUAGCGGGUCUGAGAGGAUGAUCCGCCACACUGGGACUGAGACACGGCCCAGACUCCUACGGGAGGCAGCAGUGGGGAAUUUUGGACAAUGGGCGAAAGCCUGAUCCAGCCAUGCCGCGUGUCUGAAGAAGGCCUUCGGGUUGUAAAGGACUUUUGUCAGGGAGGAAAUCCCUAGUGCUAAUAACACUGGGGGAUGACAGUACCUGAAGAAUAAGCACCGGCUAACUACGUGCCAGCCGCCGCCGUAA
RNAcentral lists this ribosomal RNA (500 nucleotides) under uncultured bacterium. Its description in RNAcentral is "partial 16S ribosomal RNA". It matches the Rfam family "Bacterial small subunit ribosomal RNA", at positions 30 to 523 of the family's 1533-position model. The record is from RNAcentral.